UCAAAGGCUCUUUUCAGAGCCGCCCAUUUGUACCUUAAGAGCUUCU
Molecule: non-coding RNA, 46 nt
Organism: Scleropages formosus (Asian bonytongue)
Lineage: Eukaryota; Metazoa; Chordata; Actinopteri; Osteoglossiformes; Osteoglossidae
Source: Rfam